UUGAUUUAAAUGCAAUCUAUGAACAAUAUCUACUUGCACACGCAUACACACCCCAGGCAGACACCGAACAGACGCAGCCUUGCAGACUUACACAGCAGCUGUGACAACAACUGAUGUCACCUCCUUUGCAGAAAUUUCCACAAGCGUCUUCCAAAGGCCAAGUUAAAUGAGAUAGAGGUUAUCAAUUUCUUUAAAGUGCUCUGGAUGAGACCAGUCCAUGUGACCCCCUUCCUGGCCGCGGGGGUGUGGUAUGUCACAGCUCCCCUAUCAGCUGGCACAUGGCAGUGGGAGAUAUGAGACAGCAGAAAAGCAGUAGUAACAACACCACCAGCCUGCCGAAGACAGAGCGAAUGCGCUGAGUAACUUCAGAGUGUGCUCACUUACUUUCUGCAAACAGGUGGAGGCUGCUCGGCCCUGGCUUCUGCUUGCACAUCCCACUCAGCACAGAUGGGUGCUAAUGUUGCCAGCUAUGCUCUGGAAAGGCUACGGUUCGUUAGCGUCGUAUUAACGCCUCUAGCAGUGCUGGCCAGAGUUUUAAGAGAUAGUUCCAGCAAUGAGCAUAUCAGACGGAGCAGCAAAGACACAGCUGCUCAAAACAGCAACGUGCAGUGGAUAUACAUGCAAUGAAAAAAGACCUCCUUCAAGGAAGAUAUUGAAGACAGCUGCAGAUCAGUCCUCCUCAGGGUUCAUUAGCUUUUUUCAUCUUCUGUAAACCAGCCCUGGGCAUGACUUUAGAAGAUGAUUAAACCAAAAAUUUGUGUGUCAUUACACCCUCUCCAACUCCAGCUGCAACAUUUUAUCUGUGGAAGCCCCAGGAUCCAAGAUCCAGGAUAGAAGCCUUCUGUCUCUCUACUUCCUUGGCAUGCUGGUUACAAUCUCUGCUCCCACCACCACCUAUGUUUGAACUGUGAUUGGUUAAAGACCCUUAAUCCUUGCUGGAAUUGUAUAAACAGAAACAUGGAUUGCCAGCCACCUAAAAUCUCCAGUGAGCCCUGGACUGUGACAAACAAAAAGCCUUUCAGUAUUCUCCCGAGCAAGUCUUUCACAAAGACUUCCGGAGCAAGCAAUUCCCAGAGCACCCUUGGCUGCCUGUUUUCAAGUACUAAGGGUGAGAAAGCUAAGCCUAUCUAUACUUGGAGGAAAAUAAGAAGACAAGGCUAAUUAAAAAUUCACCUUUGUCCUCUGUUCCUAAAAGCACUGCUCAGCCCCAUGACACCACACACUUCAGGGUGAGCUGUGUUUUUAAUGGAGAGUUUAAAGCAGAGUUUGCUUCUGGU
Molecule: long non-coding RNA, 1277 nt
Filed under: Zonotrichia albicollis (white-throated sparrow)
Lineage: Eukaryota; Metazoa; Chordata; Aves; Passeriformes; Passerellidae
Description: lncRNA (ENSZALG00000002623.1)
Source: RNAcentral